This 497-nucleotide ribosomal RNA is filed under the name uncultured bacterium. Its description in RNAcentral is "partial 16S ribosomal RNA". It matches the Rfam family "Bacterial small subunit ribosomal RNA", at positions 28 to 507 of the family's 1533-position model. The record is from RNAcentral.
GAUGAACGCUGGCGGCGUGCCUAAUACAUGCAAGUCGAGCGAACAGACGAGGAGCUUGCUCCUCUGACGUUAGCGGCGGACGGGUGAGUAACACGUGGAUAACCUACCUAUAAGACUGGGAUAACUUCGGGAAACCGGAGCUAAUACCGGAUAAUAUAUUGAACCGCAUGGUUCAAUAGUGAAAGACGGUUUUGCUGUCACUUAUAGAUGGAUCCGCGCCGCAUUAGCUAGUUGGUAAGGUAACGGCUUACCAAGGCAACGAUGCGUAGCCGACCUGAGAGGGUGAUCGGCCGCACUGGAACGGAGACACGGUCCAGACUCCUACGGGAGGCAGCAGUAGGGAAUCUUCCGCAGUGGGCGAAAGCCUGACGGAGCAACGCCGCGUGAAUGAUGAAGGUCUUCGGAUCGUAAAACUCUGUUAUUAGGGAAGAACAAAUGUGUAAGUAACUAUGCACGUCUUGACGGUACCUAAUCAGAAAGCCACGGCUAACUACGUG